RNAcentral lists this ribosomal RNA (460 nucleotides) under uncultured bacterium. RNAcentral's name for it is "partial 16S ribosomal RNA". It matches the Rfam family "Bacterial small subunit ribosomal RNA", at positions 338 to 795 of the family's 1533-position model. The record is from RNAcentral.
UCUACGGGAGGCAGCAGUGAGGAAUAUUGGUCAAUGGGCGUAAGCCUUAACCAGCCAAGUCGCGUGAGGGAUGAAGGUUCUAUGGAUCGUAAACCUCUUUUAUAAGGGACUAAAGUGCUGCACGUGUCCCGUUUUGUAUGUACCUUAUGAAUAAGGAUCGGCUGACUCCGUGCCAGCCGCCGCGGUAAUCCGGAGGAUCCGAGCUUUAUCCGGAUUUAUUUGGGUUAGAGGGAGCGUAGGUGGAUUGAUAAGUCAUGUGGGAAAGUUUUGGGCUCAACCGUAAAAUUGCAGUUGAAACUGGCAGUAUUGAGUACAGUAGAGGUGGGCGGAAUUCGUGGUGUAGCGGUGAAAUGCGUAGAUAUCACGAAGAACUCCGAUUGCGAAGGCAGUUCACUGGACUGCAACUGACACGGAGGCUCGAAAGUGUGGGUAUCAAACAGGAUUAGAUACCCCUGUAGUC